This 601-nucleotide long non-coding RNA is filed under the name Zostera marina. Its description in RNAcentral is "long non-coding RNA (ZMAR_LNC004707)". Lineage: Eukaryota; Viridiplantae; Streptophyta; Magnoliopsida; Alismatales; Zosteraceae. The record is from RNAcentral.
AAUUUUUUUUUAAUAUGAGAUUUUGACAAUUCAUGUUCUACUAACAAAAAUAUCUCAUUCUAUCUUAUUUUCAAUACCUUAUAAAACACAGCAUAAAAAAUUUGCAAAUUGCAAGGAUUAGUAAAAGUCUAAAAGAUAACCCAAAAAAGAAUAGAUAGACACAUAGACCCAAACCUGGAAAAAAAGAAAGAAAAAGAGGCUAACAGGAGGCUAACAGCAUCAGUGCAUCACAGUGUUUGCUGUCAACUUUUUUGUCCUUCAAAAAAAAAAUUCCUCCCUCACCCCCCCCUCCGUCCUCCAUCCUCCAUCCUCCACCAGACGAUGAGUUGUGACUGGUGAGGAGGAGUUUGGGAACUUGGAUAUGUGUGUCUGUCUCUGUAAUAGAUACACAUCAUUGUAGUUUAUUGGAAAUAAAGAGAAAGGAAAAAGGGAAAGUGAAAGGCAAGCAGCAAGGUUGCUUACUGAUAGAUAAUAAGUAAGCUUAGUGAGUGAGUGAGUGAGUGAGUGAGGAGAGGAGCAGUGGUGUUUUCAGCUUCAGCGAUGAAGUUUGGUGUUUUCUUCAUUGUUCUUCUGAUUUUGUUUGAUAAAUCAUCGGUUUCAG